GAUGAACGCUGGCGGCGUGCUUAACACAUGCAAGUCGAACGAAGCAUUUAAGACAGAUUCCUUCGGUUUGAAGUCUUUUAUGACUGAGUGGCGGACGGGUGAGUAACGCGUGGGUAACCUGCCUCAUACAGGGGAUUGCCACCUGAAAACGGUGGGUAUUACGGCAUAGCCCCACAUAACACAAUGGACAGUGUGAAAAACUUCUGUGGUAUGAGAUGGACCCCCGUCUGAGUAGCUUGUUGGCGGGGUAACGGCCCACCAAGGCGACGAUCAGUAGCCGACCUGAGAGGGUGACCGGCCACAUUGGGACUGAGACACGGCCCAGACUCCUACGGGAGGCAGCAGUGGGGAAUAUUGCACAAUGGAGGAAACUCUGAUGCAGCGACGCCGCGUGAGUGAAGAAGUAGUUCGCUAUGUAAAGCUCUAUCAGCAGGGAAGAUAGUGACGGUACCUGACUAAGAAGCUCCGGCUAAAUACGUG
Molecule: ribosomal RNA, 480 nt
Filed under: uncultured bacterium
Lineage: Bacteria
Description: partial 16S ribosomal RNA
Rfam family: Bacterial small subunit ribosomal RNA
Source: RNAcentral